GACGAAGGAUGCAAGCGUUAUCCGGAUUCAUUGGGUUUAAAGGGCGCGUAGGUGGUCUUAUAAGUCAGUGGUGAAAUCUCUGGGCUUAACCCAGAAAUUGCCAUUGAUACUGUAGGACUUGAGUACAGAUGCCGUUGGCGGAAUAUGACAUGUAGUGGUGAAAUACAUAGAGAUGUCAUAGAACACCGAUUGCGAAGGCAGCUGACGAAACUGUAACUGACACUGAGGCUCGAAAGUGCGGGGAUCAAACAGG
Molecule: ribosomal RNA, 253 nt
Filed under: uncultured bacterium
Lineage: Bacteria
Description: partial 16S ribosomal RNA
Rfam family: Bacterial small subunit ribosomal RNA
Source: RNAcentral